Long non-coding RNA from Panicum virgatum (switchgrass), 552 nucleotides. RefSeq lists it as uncharacterized. The record is from RefSeq and is a predicted model, not a curated record. NCBI's taxonomy places the organism in Eukaryota, Viridiplantae, Streptophyta, Magnoliopsida, Poales, Poaceae. The transcript is spliced from 3 exons.
GCAAGAAGCUACUAUAUAUUGUGUGAACAAUCCUCCCAAAUGUCACUGCGGUGUUUGUGCCAAACUUCAAAGGCCUAAUAUUGGUGUCCCUCCAAAGUUCACUCCCUUUUUUAGAUGCUCGCUAAAGACUAGAGAUGGAUGGCCGGCAUGUGAAUUCAAUGAGUAUAUUUAUGGUCCUAGAUCUCAUUGGCUGACAGAAGAGGAAGUGCGAGAAUUUGAGAGUGGGAAGAAGCCAUGGCCAUGUACAACUACUCCUAGUCUUCGAUGCAAGUGUGGUAUUCUGCCCACAAAAAGCGUAGUUCCUUCUGAGCUUGGCUACGGAUAUUACUGUGGCAAUAGCUACGGAGAGUAUUGGGAGAGAAGGACAUGUGAUUGGGAGUGGUUCCAAUGCCAGUAUGAGCUAAUGUUGCAAUUGGGCAGAACAAAAGAGCCUUGGAAAUCUAGAGACACUAUAAAUAGAAAACUGAAGAUAAAGAAGGAUUACCAAGUUACUUUGCCCCUUGAGUCAUUUCUGUCAGGGCCUGUACUCCAAGACCUACGGUGUGAGUAUGG